Molecule: ribosomal RNA, 468 nt
Filed under: uncultured bacterium
Lineage: Bacteria
Description: partial 16S ribosomal RNA
Rfam family: Bacterial small subunit ribosomal RNA
Source: RNAcentral
GACGAACGCUGGCGGCGUGCCUAAUACAUGCAAGUCGGACGGAAAGGCCAUGCUUUUGUGGGGCGCUCGAGUGGCGAACGGGGGAGUAACACGCGAGUAACACGCACUUGUAUUUGGGAUAACUUCAGGAAACUGGGGCUAAUACCGGAUAGAAGCUCUUGCUGCACGGGGGGGGUUGGUAAGAUGCGGCGGUGUGGGAUGGAAUCGCGGCUUAUCAGCUUGUUGGUGGGGUAGUGGCUUACCAAGGCUUUGACGGGUAGCCGGCCUGGGAGGGUGACCGGCCACAUUGCGACUGCGGUACGGCCCAGACGCCAACGUGCGGCAGCAGUGGGGAAUAUUGCGCAAUGGGCGGGAGCCUGAUGCAGCGACGCCGCGUGCGGGAUGACGUCCUUCGGGUUGUAAACCGCUUUCGCAUGUGACGAAGCGUGAGUGACGGUAAUGGGUAAAGAAGCACCGGCUAACUACGUG